GCUUCUUGCCUUGGAGGCAGUCUGCUCUGAGGGAGAGGGCGCUCCCCGAAGUCCUGACCGGCUUUGUGGGGAGCAGUUCCAGAGCAUCGCCCAGGGACUCUGUGACA
Gopherus evgoodei (Goodes thornscrub tortoise) is the source of this 107-nucleotide long non-coding RNA. RefSeq lists it as uncharacterized. NCBI's taxonomy places the organism in Eukaryota, Metazoa, Chordata, Testudines, Testudinidae. The record is from RefSeq and is a predicted model, not a curated record. The transcript is spliced from 3 exons.